RNAcentral lists this ribosomal RNA (809 nucleotides) under Listeria monocytogenes. RNAcentral's name for it is "partial 23S ribosomal RNA". It matches the Rfam family "Bacterial large subunit ribosomal RNA", at positions 716 to 1522 of the family's 2925-position model. Lineage: Bacteria; Bacillati; Bacillota; Bacilli; Caryophanales; Listeriaceae. The record is from RNAcentral.
CGAAACCAGGUGAUCUACCCAUGUCCAGGAUGAAGGUAAGGUAAUACUUACUGGAGGUCCGAACCCACGCACGUUGAAAAGUGCGGGGAUGAGGUGUGGGUAGCGGAGAAAUUCCAAUCGAACUUGGAGAUAGCUGGUUCUCUCCGAAAUAGCUUUAGGGCUAGCCUCGAGGUAAAGAGUCAUGGAGGUAGAGCACUGUUUGGACUAGGGGCCCUUCUCGGGUUACCGAAUUCAGAUAAACUCCGAAUGCCAUGUACUUAUACUCGGGAGUCAGACUGCGAGUGAUAAGAUCCGUAGUCGAAAGGGAAACAGCCCAGACCACCAGUUAAGGUCCCCAAAUAUAUGUUAAGUGGAAAAGGAUGUGGGGUUGCUUAGACAACCAGGAUGUUGGCUUAGAAGCAGCCACCAUUGAAAGAGUGCGUAAUAGCUCACUGGUCGAGUGACCCCGCGCCGAAAAUGUACCGGGGCUAAACAUAUUACCGAAACUGUGGAUGAACCUCUUUAGAGGUUCGUGGUAGGAGAGCGUUCUAAGGGCGGUGAAGUCAGACCGGAAGGACUGGUGGAGCGCUUAGAAGUGAGAAUGCCGGUAUGAGUAGCGAAAGAAGGGUGAGAAUCCCUUCCACCGAAUAUCUAAGGUUUCCUGAGGAAGGCUCGUCCGCUCAGGGUUAGUCGGGACCUAAGCCGAGGCCGAUAGGCGUAGGCGAUGGACAACAGGUAGAGAUUCCUGUACCAGUGCUAAUUGUUUAACCGAUGGGGUGACACAGAAGGAUAGGGAAUCGCACGAAUGGAAAUGUGCGUCCAAGCAGUGA